GCCUUUGUGAGAAACAGCCGAACCAGGCCUUUCUGUGAGAAACAGACGAACCAGGCCUUUCUGUGAGAAACAGACGAACCAGGCCUUUCUGUGAGAAACAGCCGAACCAGGCCUUUCUGUGAGAAACAGCCGAACCAGGCCUUUCUGUGAGAAACAGCCGAACCAGGCCUUUCUGUGAGAAACAGACGAACCAGGCCUUUCUGUGAGAAACAGCCGAACCAGGCCUUUCUGUGAGAAACAGCCGAACCAGGCCUUUCUGUGAGAAACAGUGGAAUUGUUAUCUGUUAUUGUUCAAUACUGGAAAUGAUGUUAAGACCAAGAAGUCACGGGAGAUUUGUCUGGCCUAGCUGGUCCAGAUUUCCUCACAACACGACAGAUAAUUUGCAUCACAAAGAUCACGUGUUGUCAUUGAUAAAUGGGAAAUGUUUCUGUGUCUCUGUUGUAGAA
Oncorhynchus nerka (sockeye salmon) is the source of this 447-nucleotide long non-coding RNA. RefSeq lists it as uncharacterized. Lineage: Eukaryota; Metazoa; Chordata; Actinopteri; Salmoniformes; Salmonidae. The transcript has 2 exons. The record is from RefSeq and is a predicted model, not a curated record.